Molecule: microRNA, 21 nt
Filed under: Populus trichocarpa (black cottonwood)
Lineage: Eukaryota; Viridiplantae; Streptophyta; Magnoliopsida; Malpighiales; Salicaceae
Description: ptc-miR6480
Source: miRBase by way of RNAcentral
UUGCUGAAACGAUUGAACUAU